GAUGAACGCUGGCGGCGUGCCUAAUACAUGCAAGUCGAGCGAACAGACGAGGAGCUUGCUCCUUUGACGUUAGCGGCGGACGGGUGAGUAACACGUGGGUAACCUACCUAUAAGACUGGGAUAACUUCGGGAAACCGGAGCUAAUACCGGAUAAUAUUUCGAACCGCAUGGUUCGAUAGUGAAAGAUGGCUUUGCUAUCACUUAUAGAUGGACCUGCGCCGUAUUAGCUAGUUGGUAAGGUAACGGCUUACCAAGGCAACGAUACGUAGCCGACCUGAGAGGGUGAUCGGCCACACUGGAACUGAGACACGGUCCAGACUCCUACGGGAGGCAGCAGUAGGGAAUCUUCCGCAAUGGGCGAAAGCCUGACGGAGCAACGCCGCGUGAGUGAUGAAGGUCUUCGGAUCGUAAAACUCUGUUAUUAGGGAAGAACAAACGUGUAAGUAACUGUGCACGUCUUGACGGUACCUAAUCAGAAAGCCCCGGCUAACUACGUG
RNAcentral lists this ribosomal RNA (497 nucleotides) under uncultured bacterium. RNAcentral's name for it is "partial 16S ribosomal RNA". It matches the Rfam family "Bacterial small subunit ribosomal RNA", at positions 28 to 507 of the family's 1533-position model. The record is from RNAcentral.